GAGAGAAAAAGAAAGACACACACAGAGAAGGAAAAGUGAGAAAAACAUCUGAACAGUGAGGCGCGCUGUGGUGGAAACAUGGAGGGGAAACUGCAGCGGAGGGAGGAGAGAGAAGCUGUCAAUAGUGAGGAUGUUAAUUCCCUGAUGUUACUGGAGCUGACCCCAGUGUAGUAGACAGCUGCUCCUGAGGACGCUCACAGCUGAUCUGAGGUCAGAAUCGGCGCGUGAACUGACUGAACAAACAGUUUGUUGUUUUUAAAAUGCAAACAGUCAGACACAGUUCAUGUCGAGCUGUUGGUAUCGACAGUUCGAUGUCUGAUUGAGUCGUCUGUGUUGUCAGUCUGUAUCGUCUGACCCGAUCGACGGAGCGGGUUUCACCGCCACACAGAUGUCACGACAAGCGGGCGGCGAGGGCGGAGGCAGACGUGAGAGGCGGAGCUGCACAAAUCAAUCAGCGAGAAGUGACUCAUCUGCUCCUGGAGGCUCUGACAACUGCCGGGCAGCACGCCAGCAUCCCGGCUUUGGUGCAAAUAACGGAGGAAAAAUGACGUGGGCGGGAUAAGCUCCCCUGCAUUACAAACAUUUUUAACCCCUUAUUAGCCAGAGCACCGCCUCAGGACCCUCAUAGAUGCUGUCGGGCCCCGGGGACUCCAAACAGUCCGCUGUGGAUUUUAUAUUUUAACACUUGAUUCAUGUUGCGUUGGCCUGAUUUACAGACUUUUAACCCUGAUGUUACUUCUGAGUCUGCUGGGUGUCAUCUUGUGUUUGAUGGUUGUAUUAUGGGUUAAUUUGAUUAGUUGAUUUGCUGUUGAAGUUUUAAUCGUUGAUCCAUAAAAUGUCAAAGUAUCUGAAUGUGCAUUUAAAAGUCCAAAUAGUCAUAAAUCAUUUGUUCUGUCUAUUUAAGAAUCAAGAGUCCAGAUAGUAAAUAACAAACUAUUAUAGAAGUUUACAGCACAUGCCAAUCUUCCUCAUUUAAAGCAAAAGACCAGAAGCCAAAGCAGCGUCUCCUGAUGUUGAACAUUUCCUGUUUUCUUUGUUAUUGUUCCACAGCUGAAGUUCACAUGAGCAGAUGACUCACAGCCUGAAUGAAUGAAGUCAGUGUGUUCCUCACUGUGCCUCAUCCUG
Labrus mixtus (cuckoo wrasse) is the source of this 1125-nucleotide long non-coding RNA. RefSeq lists it as uncharacterized. NCBI's taxonomy places the organism in Eukaryota, Metazoa, Chordata, Actinopteri, Labriformes, Labridae. The transcript is spliced from 2 exons. The record is from RefSeq and is a predicted model, not a curated record.